Molecule: ribosomal RNA, 433 nt
Filed under: uncultured bacterium
Lineage: Bacteria
Description: partial 16S ribosomal RNA
Rfam family: Bacterial small subunit ribosomal RNA
Source: RNAcentral
AACGAACGCUGGCGGCAGGCCUAACACAUGCAAGUCGAGCGGACCCUUCGGGGUUAGCGGCGGACGGGUGAGUAACGCGUGGGAAUAUGCCCUUCUCUACGGAAUAGUCCUGGGAAACUGGGGGUAAUACCGUAUACGCCCUUUGGGGGAAAGAUUUAUCGGGGAAGGAUUAGCCCGCGUUGGAUUAGGUAGUUGGUGGGGUAAUGGCCUACCAAGCCGACGAUCCAUAGCUGGUUUGAGAGGAUGAUCAGCCACACUGGGACUGAGAUACGGCCCAGACUCCUACGGGAGGCAGCAGUGGGGAAUCUUAGACAAUGGGGGCAACCCUGAUCUAGCCAUGCCGCGUGAGUGAUGAAGGCCUUAGGGUUGUAAAGCUCUUUCAGCUGGGAAGAUAAUGACGGUACCAGCAGAAGAAGCCCCGGCUAACUCCGUG